GCCAGCAGCCAUAUCACCCUACAACUCACAACUGGUAACCCACUGAAGCUAAGCAGGUGUGAGCCUGAUCAGUACCUGGAUGGGAGACCUCCUGAGAAACACAAAGGUUGCUACUGGAA
Molecule: ribosomal RNA, 119 nt
Filed under: Lepisosteus oculatus (spotted gar)
Lineage: Eukaryota; Metazoa; Chordata; Actinopteri; Semionotiformes; Lepisosteidae
Source: RNAcentral